GACGAACGCUGGCGGCGUGCUUAACACAUGCAAGUCGAACGGAAAGGCCCUGCUUUUGUGGGGUGCUCGAGUGGCGAACGGGUGAGUAACACGUGAGUAACCUGCCCUUGACUUUGGGAUAACUUCAGGAAACUGGGGCUAAUACCGGAUAGGAGCUCCUGCUGCAUGGUGGGGGUUGGAAAGUUUCGGCGGUUGGGGAUGGACUCGCGGCUUAUCAGCUUGUUGGUGGGGUAGUGGCUUACCAAGGCUUUGACGGGUAGCCGGCCUGAGAGGGUGACCGGCCACAUUGGGACUGAGAUACGGCCCAGACUCCUACGGGCGGCAGGAGUGGGGAAUGUUGCACGAUGGGCGGAAGCCUGCUGCAGCAACGCCGCGUGCGGGAUGGCGGCCUUCGGGUUGUAAACCGCUUUCGCCUGUGACGAAGCGUGAGUGACGGUAAUGGGUAAAGAAGCACCGGCUAACUACGU
Molecule: ribosomal RNA, 467 nt
Filed under: uncultured bacterium
Lineage: Bacteria
Description: partial 16S ribosomal RNA
Rfam family: Bacterial small subunit ribosomal RNA
Source: RNAcentral